Molecule: non-coding RNA, 821 nt
Organism: Biomphalaria pfeifferi
Lineage: Eukaryota; Metazoa; Mollusca; Gastropoda; Planorbidae
Source: the annotation of a GenBank genome assembly
GCUGGGUCUGUAAUAUUAUACACUACAUUUAUUUUAAGUGUUGAUGGAAACUGGGUACAGAAAGUUAUUUAAAACUCAAAAACAAUAGAAAAAGUUUGCUUCUAUAUUUAUAAACUUUGCAUUUGUAAAUUCAGUAUAAACCUUAACACAUACCGAAUGAAUUAUCAGUAGAUAAUUUAAUGAAUGUAAAUUUCUUGUAUCUAAGUGAAUAAAUUAAAUAAAUAAACAAAACAAAACAAGGUAAAAGACAAUUAAUCAAUGAAAAUUAUCCACAACGCAACCCAGCACCAUGUAUAGAUGAUUGUAAUUCAGGCAUGAUUUAGAUUGCCAAAUAAGAAUCCCCUGCCUGCUGUUUUAUGUGGGGCUUGCAUUUCAUAAGUUUCAUCAUUCACAUCAUUGAUAAUGUUUAUUUAGAAAACCUCAAGUACUAAUAUAAAAGAAGCAAAAUAUAAAAAAAAACAAAGCUUAUCUAAGGAAAAGAAGUCUUCACUUACAAUUAUAUCUCUCAAUAAUGUAGAAGUUAUUUCCCUUAUUUGAUAUCAAACAAAAAUAAUUCAUUUCCAAUAAUUAAUUGACUAUUUGGUACAUUUUGUAAUUGAUUUAUGUUUUGUUAACCACAAUAAAUAAUUGAAUGGGUGUGGUAAAAGUAACGUUUUCAAUUAUCUAAGGGGACAAGACUCUAGAUAUUUAGCCAUAUAGGUGAAUUUUUUUUUUUUGAUUCAUGUCUUGACUCUUGACUAUGCCAAAAAAUAAUAAUUGUACAAACUUUUUACCAGACAGAGUUGAUAUAAAAUUUUGUUACAAAAAAAAAAAAAAAAGAA